AUACGGAGGAUCCGAGCGUUAUCCGGAUUUAUUGGGUUUAAAGGGAGCGUAGGUGGAUUGUUAAGUCAGUUGUGAAAGUUUGCGGCUCAACCGUAAAAUUGCAGUUGAAACUGGCAGUCUUGAGUACAGUAGAGGUGGGCGGAAUUCGUGGUGUAGCGGUGCAAUGCUUAGAUAUCACGAAGAACUCCGAUUGCGAAGGCAGCUCACUAGACUGUCACUGACACUGAUGCUCGAAAGUGUGGGUAUCAAACAGGAUUAGAUACCCUGGUAGUCCACACAGUAAACGAUGAAUACUCGCUGUUUGCGAUAUACAGUAAGCGGCCAAGCGAAAGCAUUAAGUAUUCCACCUGGGGAGUACGCCGGCAACGGUGAAACUCAAAUGAAUUGACGGGG
Molecule: ribosomal RNA, 393 nt
Filed under: uncultured bacterium
Lineage: Bacteria
Description: partial 16S ribosomal RNA
Rfam family: Bacterial small subunit ribosomal RNA
Source: RNAcentral